AGCUGGAGGCCAUGGAGAAGCAGAUCCACAACCUAUAGAUGAAGCUAGCCCAGCUGUGAGAGCGGAACGCCACGCUGGAAUCAUCCCGGAUUGACGCUCACCUGUCCCAGGUAAAUCUGUGGCGUGAAACAAACACUCCCACAACCUCAACUCCGUGUUCUUCUCUGCCCAGGCCCAACGCACCAAGGACGCGGCCCGCCCAGGUUUCCUUCACUCUGGUGCCUGGGUACCACGCAGCCUGGAUGCAGCAGCAGCGGAAGACACGAGCCAAGCCCUGGGCGAGGACCUCUCCCCCUCCCCACCCGUUUUCGAGAUCUCAACCUGCAACCACUUCGCUCCCCUUUGCGAGACGGAGUGCGAUGUGGUGAUCAUCGGAGACUCCACACAUCCGUGCUACUGCGGCUAAAGGUAAGGUGCGCACUCGCUGUUUUCCUGGUACUCGUGUUGUUGAUGUCACUGCAUAGGUACCCGCGAUCCUGAAUAAGAACAUCGGAGCUGUGGUCCUCCAUGCUGGCAUGAACGACAUCAGGCUGAGGCAGACGGAGAUCCUGAAGAAGGACUUCAGGAGCCGAUUCCGACUAAAAAAGCCAUCCCGAGGCAUACAGAGAUUGUGCCAGCUCCAGUGGCAUCCAGAGAUGGACCAGCUCCAGCCGGGUUCUGCUUUGUGAGGAUUCGGUCAACCUUUAGGGACAUAAUAAUCACAUUGGACGAAGGCAUAUUUGGAAGGAGAACUGCUGGAUGCAGGAGGAUUUGGCUGUGUGUUUGCUGGACUACGCAAACAAGACGGAUUGCCAACAGGAUAUGGAUGGCUGCCCAUUGAGAUAGCUUUGAAGAUCCUUGCAAACACAGAACCUUGCUCAAAAAUCCUGAAGAUUCUGGACUGGCACGAAGAGGCAAAGUGAUAUAUCGUACUCCUGGAACAGCCUGAACCAUGUGUGGACCUCGAGGAACUCUCCGGCAAGCAAGGUGGAUGUUUGACUGAGGUCGAGGCUCGCAAUGUGAUGUUUCAGCUGAUGGAAGCACUGAAGCAUUGCAAGAGCCAGGGGAUACUGCAUCGUGAUGUCAAGCCAGAAAACAUUCUGAUUCAGACAGACACGUUUCAAGUCAAGCUGUUUGACUUGAAAGAGACCUCGUCAAAGACCCUUACAGUUACUUUGCAGGUGUCUGAUGUCUAAAUCUAAUGUAUCUUUGUUAACACUUGAAUAUGCCCCUCCUGCUCCCCGAAAGUCUGUCUCAAGGCAAGGAACUAUACUCAAUUUAAUAAUUUUGAAAAAGUUUGAUUUUCAGAUUAGGAUGUAAAUUCUCCCAACCAGGAGAGGGUGCUAGUUCCAGCCAGCAGCAGGGUGCUAGCAGUCCUGUGUGUGCGCUCAUGUGAAGUACUGUAAUGAGAAAAUGAGCAAAAGGAAAAGAAAAGAAAUAAAAGAAUUGUGUUUUCCAGUAAAAAUGGGAAACUGAUUCAAGGGGGCACCCAUGUGUUUGGUUUGUUUAGAAAUGAAGUCUGUAAUGAAGGAUUUUAACUUAAAUCGCCAUUACACCACUGCUCACAAAGAUGAGUAUGAAAGAUUCACCGGUGACGCCAAAAUUGCUCUCAUCACGAAUUUAAAAAAGUAGAAUACAUCGUCAGCAAAACCUUUUUGCCAAAUGCAUGACGGUGCAAGCAAAGAAGACCUUAUCAGAGGGCGAAAUUGUAAAGCAAUGCACGAUUGAUAUGGCUAAAGCAUUUGGAGAAGAGAAAAUAGUCAAGAACUUUGAGUCUGUAUCUUUGUCCCGCUGAACAGUAACACGUCGAAUUUCUGACUUUCAGUGUCAAGUCUAAGAAAAGCUGAAACUUGCAAUAAACAAUUGCAAAUACUGGCACAGACGUGACAGAUGCCAGUCAGCUCCUGAUCUUUGCAAGAACGAUUACAGAGAACUUUGAUGUUCAAGAGGAGCUGUUAAAGCUGGCUUCAUUACAUGACAUCACUACGCUUCAGUGGCCUGUAUGGCCACACCUGUGUCUCAAAGGAAAGUUGUAUUAUGAGGAAGUAACCUCCAAAUAACCUUGCCUUGUUCUACAUUGAAUCAAACAUGACUAAAUGCACUAAUACUUUGAAUUAUGAAUAUAAUGUUUCAUUUCUAAUAUUGUUAUACUGUUAUGAUCUAGCUGUGCUAAUGCAUAAUUGAGAGCAUGAGCUUCAGGCAGAAUUACAGUUGAACAUGCAAAAUUGAUCUGCUUUAUUGAAUUUGUUUCUCAACAAGGACUUGUCAUAACCACUUAUUCAGAACUGACAUUGAAAAGGGAAAUUAAAUAGUUUUUGGAUUUAGGGUCUCUAGCUUAUAUAGUCAAUGAGAAAAUGAAUCUCAAAUAGCAAGCAUUCUGUUAUUUAGAAAUGAGUUUGUAUUGUGAUUUUCCUUUUGAAUUACCAAAGACCUGAGGAAUUACUGUACAAUGUCUGUUUAAUCAUUGCCUCUCAGUCCUAUGUAGACGUUGUGCUGGAAUGUAAUGUUAAGCUCCAACUCUUCUGCAUUCACGCGUCUCCUGAACAUCUCCCGAUCAGCUACCGGCUCUUUGCGUGUUCGCUCGGCCGAGGUGGAGGGUCAGCGCGCACACAGGAGCAGCAGUGGAGUGAAGUUCUGUGUUGUGUCCGAUCUUCAGUCAAGAGGAGCUGAACAUGCCUUAGAGUUCUUGUACUUGUUGGAUUCUGUAUCACAAGUCAGAGUCUGCUGUUGUGUGGACCACCUGUCUGGCAUUAAACUGACACCAAAACCAGCACAUGUUCACAUGUUCAUAAUUAUACCUGGCUGCUUGAUCUGAAAUUUUUUACAUCACUUAAGUAUGUGGUGGUGUAUUCAUCAAGUGCAAAUGACAAUUUGCAUGAUGUACCAAGUAGUGGGUUUUUUUCUUUUUUCUUUUUCCACUCUGUUUCCGUCACCUGUCUGUCUUGUCAUUGAGAACUUUGAAAGGGCUCAAAGUUGAAUGUAAUCCAUGUUCCAUGUUCAUACUAAUUUACUCCGGUAUUUCUUCUGUUGUUGUAUCCAAUACUCACCUCUUACGAUGUUGAAUCUCUCUGGUCCCCACACCGAACCCACAUUCGGACCCUGGACAUGGACCCUGGAGCCUCAGCAAUCAACAUUCCCCAGCCCAGCAGCACUCCACCCUCCGUGAUAGUCCAUCAGCCAAGCCAGGGUCCUCCAACAGCAUUUCAACCACCUGUGCCACGUCAACCACGUACAUACAUUAGGUGAGUGGAAGGCCGACACUUGCAGAAAGUGUGGUUAUUCUAGGACAUCAGCAACUGGACAUAGCCAGGACAAGGCCAGAAUUUAUUGUCCAGUGACAGAGACGAUGACAAAAGAGCAGCUGCUCAAAAAAAUAAAGAAAAUGUAGAUAUGUUGCAUAUAGCGCUUGUAUUCUUACAAAGCUACAUGUAUAUUUUAUAUUUAAAUAUUUGAUGUUUAAAUAGUAUUUUUCUGUUUUGUCUUUUUUCUUUGCACUGUUUGCACCAAGUUGCACACGAUGUACUUUAUGUAGCAAGGACAACUUACUUUCUGUCCUUUGUGUUUUGUAAUUAUAAGCUCUGUGUUUUGUAAUUAUAUGUUAUGUUGUUUAUGUAGCACCAGGGUCCUGGAGAAACGUUGUCUCAUUUCACUGUGUACUGCAUCA
Long non-coding RNA from Hemibagrus wyckioides, 3643 nucleotides. RefSeq lists it as uncharacterized. Lineage: Eukaryota; Metazoa; Chordata; Actinopteri; Siluriformes; Bagridae. The record is from RefSeq and is a predicted model, not a curated record. The transcript has 4 exons.